UGUUUCAGACCAAAAAAGACGGCAGUUCCAAGGUACAGCUGCUCAAGACACUGACUGCAUCCCCUCCGUUAGACUUGAAAGUAUUCCACGCCCUCAUUCAACUCCCAGGGUCGCCAAGAUACAGUAUAAUACUAGCAGCCUCCUCUUCAGGUGAUGUACAAUGGGCCAGCUACUCCACAAUGGUUGCUAUAGCUGUGAUGGUGACAACAGGAGUGUUUAGCUGAUGUUUAUAUCGAGCAUGACGUCAUCUAAUCCUAGCUAUAUAUAGAUGACAACAUGUAUAAGAUGAAAUAAAUCUGAAUCACGAACCAGAUUUUGCUUUAAGAUGAGAUAUGACAGGUCAUAACGUCACAGAAAUAAAAAAAAAACACUAGAAAGCCAGUUAUGAUAAUAAACCACUUAAUUGUUUCUUAGUACAAGAACACUAGUCAAGGCUAUCUUAAUUAUUUUUUAUUUGCUACAUGUCUUUGAAUAUUUUCACAUUGAUAACUCACAUUGUUGUUAUCAUUUAAUUUUAGUACCUUGCGUUUGUUAUGAAUUGUCAAUAUGGUGUUCUUUUUAUGUUUUUGUAAAUAAAGUAUUAGGAAAUGUUA
Molecule: long non-coding RNA, 593 nt
Organism: Mizuhopecten yessoensis (Yesso scallop)
Lineage: Eukaryota; Metazoa; Mollusca; Bivalvia; Pectinida; Pectinidae
Exons: 2
Source: RefSeq, a predicted model, not a curated record